GACGAACGCUGGCGGCGUGCUUAACACAUGCAAGUCGAACGGUAAGGCCCUUCGGGGUACACGAGUGGCGAACGGGAGAGUAACACGUGGGUGAUCUGCCCUGCACUUCGGGAUAAGCCUGGGAAACUGGGUCUAAUACCGGAUAGGACUCCUGGCUUCAUGGUUGGGGGUGGAAAGCUUUUGCGGUGUGGGAUGGGCCCGCGGCCUAUCAGCUUGUUGGUGGGGUAAUGGCCUACCAAGGCGACGACGGGUAGCCGGCCUGAGAGGGUGACCGGUCACACUGGGACUGGGAUACGGCCCAGACUCCUACAGGAGGCAGCAGUGGGGAAUAUUGCACAAUGGGCGCAAGCCUGAUGCAGCGACGCCGCGUGAGGGAUGACGGCCUUCGGGUUGUAAACCUCUUUCAGCACCGACGAAGCGCAAGUGACGGUAGGUGCAGAAGAAGGACCGGCCAACUACGUGCCAGCCGCCGCAGUAA
This 478-nucleotide ribosomal RNA is filed under the name uncultured bacterium. RNAcentral describes it as "partial 16S ribosomal RNA". It matches the Rfam family "Bacterial small subunit ribosomal RNA", at positions 28 to 523 of the family's 1533-position model. The record is from RNAcentral.